RNAcentral lists this ribosomal RNA (264 nucleotides) under uncultured bacterium. RNAcentral's name for it is "partial 16S ribosomal RNA". It matches the Rfam family "Bacterial small subunit ribosomal RNA", at positions 90 to 354 of the family's 1533-position model. The record is from RNAcentral.
UCUUAGUGGCGGACGGGUGAGUAACGCGUGGGUAACCUGCCUUGCACUGGGGGAUAACACUUAGAAAUAGGUGCUAAUACCGCAUAAGCGCACGGUCCCGCAUGGGACAGUGUGAAAAACUCCGGUGGUGCAAGAUGGACCCGCGUCUGAUUAGCUGGUUGGCGGGGUAAAGGCCCACCAAGGCGACGAUCAGUAGCCGGCCUGAGAGGGUGGACGGCCACAUUGGGACUGAGACACGGCCCAAACUCCUACGGGAGGCAGCAG